CAGUGUUGGUUGCUUUGGAAAAUCCCUCUUAGUUCUUGGGACAGCAGUACUAGUAAGUGCAGCAAAAUUAUCAAAGCCCAGAGGGAGUUCCACUUGUUUAACCUAGCAUCUUUGCCAGAGAGUGUAUUUAAAGCACGUAGGACACUUUGUUUCUCUGAAGCAAUG
Neogale vison (American mink) is the source of this 165-nucleotide unclassified non-coding RNA. NCBI's taxonomy places the organism in Eukaryota, Metazoa, Chordata, Mammalia, Carnivora, Mustelidae. The record is from Ensembl.